Oncorhynchus tshawytscha (Chinook salmon) is the source of this 668-nucleotide long non-coding RNA. The record is from Ensembl. Lineage: Eukaryota; Metazoa; Chordata; Actinopteri; Salmoniformes; Salmonidae.
GCUGCAUACAUUUGCUCAGCCCCCUCUCCAUCUCCUCCUCUGUUCUGUUCUUCCAGUGCCAUUUCCUCUUUUAAUUAUCCCCAAGCAAAAAGAUGGAGCACAUCAGACGCAUCGGUAAAUCCCGGUUCUGGCUCGAGCUCAUAGCAGUUCCUGCGUCCGCGUCUGGCAAUUCCGAUAGAGAGCGCGCGCUGGCAGUGACAGAGAGAGAGAAUCCGCCUGGAGAUUUUUUUACGGAAGAAUGGGGAGGAUGAUCUCUCAGCAAAACAGGUCUUCGCUCUCUUUCCCGACGUGGGCGGCUUUGGCUAGCACUGUCUGAUCACGCUGCGUUUUCAACACCAGAUUAGCGAAUUCUGAAGAGAAGACUCCAUCAAAUUCAUACAGACCCCUUGUUUACACCUCAGCAGAGUCAGCACGGACAAUGAUCCAACACACCUCCAGGCUGUGUAAGGACUAUUUGACCAAGAAGGAGAGUGAUGGAGUGCUGCAUCAGAUGACCUGGCCUCCAAAAUCACCCGACCUCAACCCAAUUGAGAAGGGAUGAGUCAGACUGCAGAGUGAAGGAAAAGCGGCCAACAAGACUGUUGGAAAAGCAUUCCUCGUGAAGCUGGUUGAGAGAAUACCAAGAGUGUGUAAAGCUGUCAUCUAGGCAAAGGGUGGCUACUUUGAAG